CUUGCGCCCCUUGGUUAUUCCGAAGGGCAUGCCUGUUUGAGUAUCAUGAACACCUCAACUCUCAUGGUUUUCCAUGAUGAGCUUGGACUUUGGGGGUUUUGUUGGCUUGGAGUCAACUCCUCUCAAAUGGAUCAGCUUGCCAGUGUUUGGUGGCAUCACGGGUGUGAUAAAUAUCUACGCUCAUGGCCGUCCACCAGGUAACUUCCAGCGAUGGAGGUUCGCUGGAGCUUAUAAACGUCUCUCCUCAGCGAGGACAGCUUUUUGAACGUUCGAUCUCAAAUCAGGUAGGACUACCCGCUGAACUUAAGCAUAUCAAUAAGCGGAGG
RNAcentral lists this ribosomal RNA (326 nucleotides) under uncultured Tomentella. RNAcentral describes it as "eukaryotic LSU rRNA". The stretch from base 271 to 326 matches the Rfam family "Eukaryotic large subunit ribosomal RNA", at positions 1 to 56 of the family's 3401-position model. The record is from RNAcentral. Lineage: Eukaryota; Fungi; Basidiomycota; Agaricomycetes; Thelephorales; Thelephoraceae.